AUUGAACGCUGGCGGCAGGCCUAACACAUGCAAGUCGAACGGUAACAGGAAACAGCUUGCUUUUUCGCUGACGAGUGGCGGACGGGUGAGUAAUGUCUGGGAAACUGCCUGAUGGAGGGGGAUAACUACUGGAAACGGUAGCUAAUACCGCAUAACGUCGCAAGACCAAAGAGGGGGACCUUCGGGCCUCUUGCCAUCAGAUGUGCCCAGAUGGGAUUAGCUAGUAGGUGGGGUAACGGCUCACCUAGGCGACGAUCCCUAGCUGGUCUGAGAGGAUGACCAGCCACACUGGAACUGAGACACGGUCCAGACUCCUACGGGAGGCAGCAGUGGGGAAUAUUGCACAAUGGGCGCAAGCCUGAUGCAGCCAUGCCGCGUGUAUGAAGAAGGCCUUCGGGUUGUAAAGUACUUUCAGCGGGGAGGAAGGGAGUAAAGUUAAUACCUUUGCUCAUUGACGUUACCCGCAGAAGAAGCACCGGCUAACUCCGUGCCAGCAGCCGCGGUAAUACGGAGGGUGCAAGCGUUAAUCGGAAUUACUGGGCGUAAAGCGCACGCAGGCGGUUUGUUAAGUCAGAUGUGAAAUCCCCGGGCUCAACCUGGGAACUGCAUCUGAUACUGGCAAGCUUGAGUCUCGUAGAGGGGGGUAGAAUUCCAGGUGUAGCGGUGAAAUGCGUAGAGAUCUGGAGGAAUACCGGUGGCGAAGGCGGCCCCCUGGACGAAGACUGACGCUCAGGUGCGAAAGCGUGGGGAGCAAACAGG
Molecule: ribosomal RNA, 759 nt
Filed under: uncultured Pseudomonadota bacterium
Lineage: Bacteria; Pseudomonadati; Pseudomonadota
Description: bacterial SSU rRNA
Rfam family: Bacterial small subunit ribosomal RNA
Source: RNAcentral